GCCUGAGGUACAAAGACGAGGAGCCUCUUGAUCAAGACCCCUCAUUGAGAUCCUCUGAUCCUGUCUGCUGCUAUUUGAUCUCGGACAGGUCCCAAGGUCCUGCACCCUCAAAUGGUGGGGACAAGAGUCCUUCUCUUUGCUGACGGUGAAGGCCUAGGAGCCAGGCCUUGCCCACCUAUUGAAAGUGCUCCUCACGGGGACCCUGUGAGCUCCCCACCACUGUUGAAAGAAGGAUCCCAAGGUCCUCUCACACUGGAGCUUGGAAGUUGGCAUCACAGUGCCACAGGACUGUGUGCCCUCUGUGGCUCCAGGGGAGGGUCUGCUUCUGGCUUAUGCAUUUAUCCAUUUUCUCAUUCGUUCAUCUCAUAAGCAGAACUUUCUCACAAGCCUCCUGUCGGUCAGGCCACAGAGGAGUCCUGACUUCACCGCUUUUCUGGAAGUUUCUUCAAAUCUCUCGUGAACCUCAAAGGCCUUGGAGCUUGGUGACCUCUGUCCUCUGUGGUGUGGCUUCCGGGCAUUCCUGGGGUGGCCGCAGCUCUUGAGGUUAUUCUUGGAUAACCACAAGUCACCCUCCUGUGAACAGAGACUUUUCAUCAGACACUGAUGGAAGUAACGUCAUUCCCAAAUUACCGGGGCUCUGCGGGUGGGGCUGGUGUGACCCAUGUCCCUUGAGGGGUCCCAGCUCUACCACUUUCUGCCAAGACCCUGGACCAUCGCUUCCUGCUGCCCUCUGGGUUAGGGGCUCCCUGCACCCGUGGGGCCAUGGUUCCCAUCUGGAAAAAUCAGAAGCUCCGGGCAAAAGGUGUUUGUUUCUUUAGGAUGAAGCAGGUGGAUGUGGCUCUGAGUUCAGGGAAAUGACCAGAUCAGCAUGUUGGAAAGAGGGAGGAGGCAGCAGCAGAUGCAGUCCCUCACACCAGCUUGGGGACCCCAGCUCUUGCUUAGCCUGGCACAGCAUGGAGGAGCCUCUGACACCCACUGAGAGACCUGGGAAGGGUGCCUGGGAAGGGCCCCAGCUGGAGUGCAAACAUGAGGUGACUAUUAGCUUUAUUCCCAAGCCAGGGUGAGAGGAGGGAGAGAGGCAGACAAGAGGCAGAGACAGAGAGAGAUGGAGGGAGACCGAGGCAGAGGCAGGCAGAGGAGGCACAGAGGUGCAGGCAGAGCUCCUCUCUCAGAGGGCCUUCAAGACCCUCCUGAAACACAGGGGUAGGAUGUGGUAAGGCCUUCCAGAAAGAAAAGUGGAUGACCGCCAGGAGGUACUAUGUGCUCACUCAGGCUGCGCUCAUUCAUUCACUCAACAAACAUUCCCUAGGUGGCCAUCUGGGCCCGGUACUGGUCACAGCCACCAGCCUCUUCCCCAGUGGCUGUGGAUGCCUGUUGCAUCCAUGUGGGACGCAGACACAGAAAACUCCUGUCCCUGUGCAGCUCACCCAGCCCAGUAAGUGACUAGCAGCGGCACUAGGGAGAGAAUCCUGACGGCAGAGCUGGCACCAUCUGGGCUUCAGUUCCCUGUGGGUCCUGCAGAGUGACCGGGUGACCUUUGGUGGCCAGCACAGGUAGAAUGGAUGCUUCCUGCCAGGCUCAAUAUCCCCAGGCUGUAGAGGCUGCUGAUCCAGCUCAGACAUGCCGGUGGGGGAGGGAGGACAGAAGUGACCCGGCCACUCUGGGGCGCUGGGGGCUUCAGCCGACUCCUUCCUUUCAUGGUGAGUUGCUGACCCCACCCUCUUGGGGCCCCAGAUUUCUCACAUGCUAGAAAAGCUCAGUGUGUCCAGUAGAAAAAAAUGUGGGCCACGUAAGUGAUUUAAAUUGUCUUGCAGUCACAUUAAAAAGAUAAAAAGAAGCAGGUGAAGUUAAUCUUAGUAACAUUUAUUUAACCCAAUGUAGC
This 1882-nucleotide long non-coding RNA is filed under the name Marmota monax (woodchuck). Lineage: Eukaryota; Metazoa; Chordata; Mammalia; Rodentia; Sciuridae. The record is from RNAcentral.